UGCAUCUAUGCUCUCCAUUCUUAAAACUUGGAGGCCUUUCUUUUGAAUCCCCUCAGAUAUGUUUUCUUUUUAGGCGGUGCUAUAUAUUUGGCAUGCGCCUUGAGCCCAACUAGCUGACAAUGAAGCAUGGUCGAUGUCUCACUUGGAGAGGUUGCACAGAUAAGAUUUUCUAUUGUACUCAGAAUCAAGCAUCAAGUUUUAGUGAAAACUCUAAGUUCAUCAAGGGCUGCUAGAUAGGAAGCAGAGUCACCGGGCAACAAGGUGGUGAUUUCACUAAGUUGGAGGCUUUAUGAUUUGGUGCAAGAAUUCCUUGGUAGAGGAGGCUGUAAUAUAGAGUUAGAGAGAAUCCACGAUUUGAAUUAUUUUUACUGGAUAUGUAUGUCGCAUAUAUGAAAGCGUGUAUUUUUUGUUUUAUGUGGGUGAUGUUGAGUUGAUCCUAGAUUUAUUCAAAGGAUAUUUGUCAUAUCUGUAUACAGUUCUAUUACAUUACCUAUCCAAUAAGAAGUGUGCUCUCAUGGAUAUUCAAUAUUGGUUUAACUAAAAUGUUUA
Lotus japonicus is the source of this 549-nucleotide long non-coding RNA. RefSeq lists it as uncharacterized. NCBI's taxonomy places the organism in Eukaryota, Viridiplantae, Streptophyta, Magnoliopsida, Fabales, Fabaceae. The record is from RefSeq and is a predicted model, not a curated record. The transcript has 3 exons.